GCCCCCAUAGCUCAAUGGAUAGAGCGUAAGCCUCCGGAGCUUGAGAUAGAGGUUCAAUCCCUCUUGGGGGUA
Molecule: transfer RNA, 72 nt
Filed under: Candidatus Uhrbacteria bacterium RIFCSPHIGHO2_01_FULL_46_23
Lineage: Bacteria; Candidatus Uhriibacteriota
Also listed under: 5 other names
Description: tRNA-Arg
Rfam family: tRNA
About the family: Transfer RNA (tRNA) molecules are approximately 80 nucleotides in length. Their secondary structure includes four short double-helical elements and three loops (D, anti-codon, and T loops). Further hydrogen bonds mediate the characteristic L-shaped molecular structure. tRNAs have two regions of fundamental functional importance: the anti-codon, which is responsible for specific mRNA codon recognition, and the 3' end, to which the tRNAs corresponding amino acid is attached (by aminoacyl-tRNA synthetases). tRNAs cope with the degeneracy of the genetic code in two manners: having more than one tRNA (with a specific anti-codon) for a particular amino acid; and 'wobble' base-pairing, i.e. permitting non-standard base-pairing at the 3rd anti-codon position.
Source: RNAcentral